This 460-nucleotide ribosomal RNA is filed under the name uncultured bacterium. RNAcentral's name for it is "partial 16S ribosomal RNA". It matches the Rfam family "Bacterial small subunit ribosomal RNA", at positions 338 to 795 of the family's 1533-position model. The record is from RNAcentral.
CCUACGGGAGGCAGCAGUGAGGAAUAUUGGUCAAUGGCCGCGAGCCUGAACCAGCCAAGUCGCGUGAAGGAUGACUGCCCUACGGGUUGUAAACUUCUUUUAUAAAGGAAUAAAGUGAGCCACGUGUGCCUUUUUGUAUGUACUUUAUGAAUAAGGAUCGGCUAACUCUGUGCCAGCAGCCGCGGUAAUACGGAGGAUGCGAGCGUUAUCCGGAUUUAUUGGGUUUAAAGGGUGCGUAGAUGGGUUGUUAAGUCAGUUGUGAAAGUUUGUGGCUCAACCGUAAAAUUGCAAUUGAUACUGGAAGUCUUGAGUGUAUUUGAGGUAGGCGGAAUGCGUGGUGUAGCGGUGAAAUGCUUAGAUAUCACGAAGAACUCCGAUUGCGAAGGCAGCUUACUAAGCUAUAACUGACACUGAUGCUCGAAAGCGUGGGGAUCAAACAGGAUUAGAUACCCGAGUAGUC